AAGACUAUACUUUCAGGGAUCAUUUCUACAGUUCGUUACUAAAGAAGUUUCUCUGAACAUGUGUAACACCUGAAACCAUGAGGAGGAGGUGCAGUGUUCUCUCCUGAGUGUGAAGCUGGCUUUUGGUGUUGCUUUUGCAAUGCUAUUGCCCACUGAUGACCGUUCUUCUCUUCCUUUGGGAGAGCAUGGGGUUGGAGAGUUAAACAAAUAAAU
Small nucleolar RNA from Myotis myotis, 213 nucleotides. RefSeq annotates it as small nucleolar RNA U3. The record is from RefSeq and is a predicted model, not a curated record. The transcript has a single exon. Lineage: Eukaryota; Metazoa; Chordata; Mammalia; Chiroptera; Vespertilionidae.